ACUCCGCACGGGUACCGAGAACUUUCCGGGAAUCGACGGGAUUUCUCUGGCUGUCGUUUGCGCUGCAUUUAUCCGAAUACAUCCAGCUCGCAGGCAUCCUGCAAGAAACGGCUCCCGGCUCGCGUGUACGCCGACACCUCGGCCCAACGCAGGACUCGAGGUGGUUUCUAGUGCCCGGGUGGCUGCAAGUCUGCCCUCCGAGGGAGGCUGGACAAGCGGCGCCCCCAGGUCGAGCGGCCUCUCGCUGCCUGGCAGUGCCUGGCAGCCCCCACCUCUGCCAGUGCUUCGGAAACCCGCCUGGCCAGGUUCGCCCGCGGUGAAAAAUGAAAGCAAAUUCCCCAACAGAGGUAGCCGGAACUUUCCUCGACGAAGGCUCCCUCCUGCGCCUGUGUCUGGAGAACCCCCAGAGCGCUGCAAGUUAGCAAGAGAGAUUCGAUGGCGGCUCUGGAAGGCGCACGAAGGGUGGGGCGGGGGAGCAAAGAGGCCACUGGGUGACCCAGCCUGGUCCGGGGUGAAACGCUAGAGAAGGCGCCUCGCCUUCCUUAUUUCAAUGCAACUCCUCGGCCCCAGACGGUAAAAAUAGUUUCCAAGCUGCCGCGGACGCCCAGGAUGUGUUUGCAGAGAUCAAACUGGGGAGGAGGCAGCUUUGUAAAAGUUGCAGAAAGAUUAGCCGAGAAGCGUCCGCCCGGCGGGGCUCAAGAAAGCUUGGGGACAGCUCCAUGUUCCUUGGGGCGGAAUGGCCCAAGAAUUGGCCUGGGUAACCCCCUGCCCAGUUCUCUGUCCUCACUUCGAGCCAGU
This 798-nucleotide long non-coding RNA is filed under the name Homo sapiens (human). Its description in RNAcentral is "non-protein coding ZNF503-AS2:31". Lineage: Eukaryota; Metazoa; Chordata; Mammalia; Primates; Hominidae. The record is from RNAcentral.